GAAUUAAAAUUGAGACAAUUGAAGCCACAUGAUCAAAAGUGAACACUUUGUUUGGCUUUUCAUACACCAAUGUUUAUUCUUGACGAUUGAAUGAAAUAAAUCAAACGAAAACAAUAGAAAUGAAUCAUCAAACAAAGAUGUGAAUUUGACUAAGAGCACCUUUUUUUUACUCCGCUCCAAUACGGUGCGUUCGGAAGCGGACGAGGAAUGAAGAAAGAACGCACGAGAUGACGUUUCGAUGGAGUGCACUGAACUACUGAAGUGGGUGACGAUGACAGCAAUGAAAACAGCGCACUUUCUUCCUUCAAUUUGCGCACUUGGGCUCUGAUUUUUUGCCAUUGCCGGAACUGGGUGCUACCUGAAAUCUCUCUGCAACCACAAAGCCUUCAACUUUUUAGGUAAACCCCUCAUCAAUUCCUUACAUUUUCACUUGUCUGAAACUGUUCUGUGUUUGAUUAAUGAGUUAUCUGUUCUAAACAAAUCAUGGGUUUUUUUUAUCCAAUUGUCCAUAAUAUUGUCUGCUUCGGAAGUUUUGAGGUGCAUUGGCUGAAAAAAGUUAGUAAAUCCUGGUUGUCCUGCUUUUUCCUUAUCUCACAAAUCACAAAUCACAAAUUGUGGUAUCCAUGACCAGAAAACUUUGUUAAGUGAUGCAGCCCAUUUGAGAUUCACCCUUGAAGCAUGCAAUAACCAUGACCAGAAAACUUUGUUUCAAAUCCAUCAAAUUUUCUGAUUGUCUUGGUGUAUUUAGUCUGAAAAUACAGCUUACACUAAUCGGAAAGCUUGUUUUCAGCAUGCCUAUCUUCUGCCUCGUAAUUAGUAUUGCUCAGCUUCUUAACCAUUCUGCUAUUCUGUGAAUGUUCUUGACUUGUGUAGACAUCCCUCAUCUAAGGAGUCUUAGAUUUUCCUCACCUUUGGAGAACUUGGUAUCAUGAUAUCACCAACCCGGUUUGAGUAUGUUUUCCACAAAUGAGCCGGUAAAACUAGAGCAGUGGAAGUUUGACAACCUAAUCUUUUGAGAGAUGAGACUUCAUAACGGAGUUAGAUUUGGGAGGCUUAGGUGGAGUAAAUUUGUGAUAUAUCAAAUUGUUUGAAGUAGGUGAAGUAUUAGUUAAAAUUAGUCUUUCUUAGCUCUUUUUAGUUGCUUAGAAGGAAGAAAUAAGAAUGGGUUCAAAACCAUUACAAAGUUAGAAAAUUUCAAGUUCCGAAUCAUCGUUAGCCGUUAGGCCUGUUAUGGAACCUAGCAGGCAUUAGGGGUCUUAGAACUUGUUCUUUGAACUUUUCCAGAUACAAGUCACUGAAAUGCGUGGUGUAUGUGUAGAACAUGUUGUUUAUGAGUGAAGACCUUUCUCCGAAGCUACAUUAUAUUGAAGGAUUGUUACUUAGAAGUUGAUGAUAUACCAUAUACAUCAGAUCCUUUUGCUGCAAAUAAUUCUUAUAUUCUGUAUCUAAUACUGCUAGCAAUAACCACACAAUGAGAACAAAAAUAUAACAGUAAGAACUUUAAUAACAAUAAUAACAGCAAUACUAAUAACAAUAGAGAGUAAUAGUAGUACUACCACUAGCAGUAAAUCAACUUCUCAAUGAAUCGAGUAGAAAUUAGAGUGACCCUAUUUGUUUUCUUGAGAAUAUUUAUCCAAUUAACCAGGGCCUUGCCUCUCCAUGUACCUGCGCCACGCUGCUAUGUCUUGGAUUCAUUGAUGCCAACCAAGAGGUAUAACUGUAUCGGUUGUAACUUGUAAUGUUUCGUUGGAAAUAACCUGGUCUUGCAUGAAUUAUUUGAGGGAAUAUUAUUCUUCAUGAUUGUGUUUUGUGUAGUCAUGUUAUGGGGUCUUGACAAAGAUGGCGUGCCGAGUACAUAUUCUAGAAUUGGACGUCACUUACUUAAACAAUUGUGAGAUACGUACCAUCUUGAUUCUAAGAUGUAUAAUGAACCUAAGCUUGCAUGAUCAGCUGAGCAUACCCUACAAUGAGAAGUUCUAUUGUCGGAAAGUUCAACGGAAGAUUGGCUUGUUGACUCUCCAUACAUGUUCCUUCUAGAAGUUAUACACAUAUUUGGUAUUGAUCAUUUGACUGGUUUCAUUCUUUAUUAGUCUUAAUACUAAAGUGAUAUUGAGAGCUUGCCGCUCUGUUUUUCAAAUCAUUUGAGAUGGUUGAAUUUGAUGCAGUUGGACACUCUUGUCAGUCAUAAUGGCUCUCCAUCGUAGUAGAUUCCCAUCUCAAUGAGGUUGUGUCGUACAUUGUUCUUAGCGCACUUGCAUUAAAUACUAGGCCGAGGAAAAAAAAUCAGACACACUGGAACGAUAUAUAGCCCUCCUUUUCAUCUGGAAGAAAGGAGUCAAUUUUUUAGGUGUAGUGUUUUUCUCUGAUUACAAAACCGAGUGCAGUGGUGUUCUAGGAUUCAAAUAGCCAACCCCAUUAGUGGGAUAAGGCUUUGUUGUUGUUGUUGUUGAUUUGUUCGUGUAGAAUCCAUGUAAAAACAAGGACAUUGACACCAGUUGCAAUGUGCAUGAAGACGCUUUGCGAACAUGCUCGUAUAUUAAUGUAACUGUUCUUUGAUUUUGGGGAGUGGGUGUUCUCCUGCCCUUCACUAUAACCCUUUGAAAAGUUGAGGUGCAAGAAAAGUAUACAAGUUGUCAUUUAUAUACAAAGAUGAAGCCCAUAACCAUGGACUUGUGUGUUUCAGAAAGAAAUUGAUCGGUGACAUAAUGCUCACGUCAUUUUCAGUAAGCAAUUGUGAUUUUGACGCAAUAUUACCAACAAUUAUUUAUGGUAUGCUUUUGGUGCGAUUUUGACAGGUUCCUUUUGUUUCACUUUUCUUGAUUCCUGAGGCCAUAUUCUUCUCAUCUUCUAUCUCCAUGCUUUUGUAUUGUGAGAUCUCCAGUAACGGGGUCCCUUGAAGAAUAAUAAUUGCUGAGAGAGUGAGAGGCACCUUUGUUUGUGUGACUUUAUGAUUCACUGGACCUUCACCUCCUGACGGAAAAAUACCAGGGGCCAUUUGGCAUCGUCCUAGAAUCUCCUUUACCUGUUAUGGAAUAUAUUAAAGCGACGAAAAGAGCUUCAAGUACAGCAGCUGGUUAAAGAGAAAGGUACGUCAAUAACUCUUGCUUCUUUUCUUGGUUUUCAAACAUUCGGGCCACACUACCAUAAGAACUUGUCAAUAAUUAUAUUCCUUUCUUUGAACGUGAACUAUGAGCUUCCCACUAGGGAUAUGUUAGUCCAAUGGAGGAGAGGCCAAUGCUUGCUCAGGAAGAACCCUCCACCACCACCAUGAUACUAGACCCAGCCUCUUGUGGGUCCCACCGCCACCGGUGCUGUCUUUCGACUAACCAUUUUAGCUGAAGGAAUGAUGAGAGUAACAACCUGAUUAGUGAAAAUGUUUCCCCCAUGCUAACGGUUUUAGGAUCAAAUGCUUGAACAGUCUCGACGGUGCAGCCUCUAGUUUGUUGAUAUCGUUAAUGUGUUAAGAAAUACUUAAAUUAGUACUUGAACUUUGAAUCCUGGGGCAUUUGUUUAUGUAUGCAGCAGGCAGAGCAAGUGAAUGUUAAGCACUGGGAUGGCAAGUCUUUGGAAGAUGAAUAAUCAUUGGAUUUUGAUUCCCGUGAUCAAACUCUUGACCACAACCCAAGAAAUCCCGAGAUCAAUCCGAUUCCGAUUGACUUUUACGAUUUGUUGUUGGCCACUGUGAUUUGUGGCCUCCUUUUCUCUUUUCUUUUUCUCUUUUGUGAUCAAAAUUUUCUUUAUAUUCAGUUGGUUUUGGAUAUGGAUUACAGAUUUAAAGCUAACAAUCCCAUUGGAAUAUAUUUCUUUUUGAGACUUUUGUGCAGAGAGAGAGAGCCCUGGUGAGUGCCCUUUAUGUCAUUUCCAUUUGUUUAGAGAGAGAAAUCAGAGAGAGAGAGAGAGGAGUUGUGUUGCUUCAUACCAUAACAAUACUAAUUCAACGUUCAUCUUUCGCAUCCGAGUUUGAAUUCUCCACCGCCCUAUAUUAAAGUAAUUUGACGUAUCGUGAGAAAAACAAGUGCAAUUAUGAUUCAUGUAUUUUCAUGGAACAUUGAUUUUUGGACGUAAUCGUCGUAUUUGAUGCAAUUAUAUUCUGAUUCCCCGUCUCUGAUACAUCCAAGGCAGGAACCAUUGAUU
Molecule: long non-coding RNA, 4134 nt
Filed under: Malus domestica (apple)
Lineage: Eukaryota; Viridiplantae; Streptophyta; Magnoliopsida; Rosales; Rosaceae
Description: long non-coding RNA (MDOM_LNC016079)
Source: RNAcentral